CAGUCGCCGCGGUAAUACGUGGGGCGCAAGCGUUAUCCGGAAUUAUUGGGCGUAAAGAGCUCGUAGGCGGUUUGUCGCGUCUGCCGUGAAAGUCCGGGGCUCAACCCCGGAUCUGCGGUGGGUACGGGCAGACUAGAGUGAUGUAGGGGAGACUGGAAUUCCUGGUGUAGCGGUGAAAUGCGCAGAUAUCAGGAGGAACACCGAUGGCGAAGGCAGGUCUCUGGGCAUUAACUGACGCUGAGGAGCGAAAGCAUGGGGAGCGAACAGGAUUAGAUACCCCUGUAGUCCCUGUCUCUUAUAC
This 301-nucleotide ribosomal RNA is filed under the name uncultured bacterium. RNAcentral describes it as "partial 16S ribosomal RNA". It matches the Rfam family "Bacterial small subunit ribosomal RNA", at positions 509 to 807 of the family's 1533-position model. The record is from RNAcentral.